Dermacentor albipictus is the source of this 678-nucleotide long non-coding RNA. RefSeq lists it as uncharacterized. The record is from RefSeq and is a predicted model, not a curated record. NCBI's taxonomy places the organism in Eukaryota, Metazoa, Arthropoda, Arachnida, Ixodida, Ixodidae.
GUGUUUGUGGCCUGCCAAGGCGAUGCUUGGUGUCCCACCGGCAAGUGCGUAGAAUGUGAUGUGGAAAGACUUGUUUCGCGUGUUCUGCGUACCGGGGUUCGAUUGGGCAGCCUGCCCGGUCAAUAGGGCCGUGGGUAUUUACAGAUAGCGCUAUCCGAUGACAGCACGCGUGGCACGCUUGUAUAUAAACUCGCCGCGGCCUCUCGACUGAGCAUCAUCUGACGGACGAACAGUUCCUCGGCAGAUAAAACAUGAUCAGCACCAAGACCCUCCUUGUCGGACUCCUCGUCCUGGCCCUGGUGUUCACCAUCGCCACGGCACAGUACGGAGGCUUCGGCGGCGGCGGACGUGGAUUCGGCGGCGGUGGACGCGGCUAUGGCGGCGGUGGACGCGGCUACGGCGGCGGAGGACGGGGCUUCGGUGGCGGACGUGGUUACGGCGGCGGAGGACGGGGCUUCGGUGGCGGCUACAGAGGAUGAUUCUCGGUUGCCACGAAUGCGCGUCACUCUGUGAUUUGACAACACCGAGGCCGAGUGCCGAACCAAAUGCUGCGCGUUGUGCUCAAAGAGACUUGCGAGAUCCGGCUGGACCUGUGAUCGCGGACCUCCGAGAAGUUGUUGUGGCUCUGUUGAACAUGGCAUCGAAUAAACAUUGCCUUCUGUGAGUGGCGUACACAUA